Molecule: non-coding RNA, 45 nt
Filed under: Schistosoma haematobium
Lineage: Eukaryota; Metazoa; Platyhelminthes; Trematoda; Strigeidida; Schistosomatidae
Source: RNAcentral
AUCCAGUUGAUGAGUCCCGAAUAGGACGAAAAGCGCAUUCUGAAU